RNAcentral lists this ribosomal RNA (1007 nucleotides) under 'Quercus humboldtii' aster yellows phytoplasma. RNAcentral describes it as "bacterial SSU rRNA". It matches the Rfam family "Bacterial small subunit ribosomal RNA", at positions 271 to 1286 of the family's 1533-position model. Lineage: Bacteria; Bacillati; Mycoplasmatota; Mollicutes; Acholeplasmatales; Acholeplasmataceae. The record is from RNAcentral.
AGACUAUGAUGUGUAGCCGGGCUGAGAGGUUGAACGGCCACAUUGGGACUGAGACACGGCCCAAACUCCUACGGGAGGCAGCAGUAGGGAAUUUUCGGCAAUGGAGGAAACUCUGACCGAGCAACGCCGCGUGAACGAUGAAGUAUUUCGGUACGUAAAGUUCUUUUAUUAGGGAAGAAUAAAUGAUGGAAAAAUCAUUCUGACGGUACCUAAUGAAUAAGCCCCGGCUAACUAUGUGCCAGCAGCCGCGGUAAUACAUAGGGGGCAAGCGUUAUCCGGAAUUAUUGGGCGUAAAGGGUGCGUAGGCGGUUAAAUAAGUUUAUGGUCUAAGUGCAAUGCUCAACAUUGUGAUGCUAUAAAAACUGUUUAGCUAGAGUAAGAUAGAGGCAAGUGGAAUUCCAUGUGUAGUGGUAAAAUGCGUAAAUAUAUGGAGGAACACCAGUAGCGAAGGCGGCUUGCUGGGUCUUUACUGACGCUGAGGCACGAAAGCGUGGGGAGCAAACAGGAUUAGAUACCCUGGUAGUCCACGCCGUAAACGAUGAGUACUAAACGUUGGGUAAAACCAGUGUUGAAGUUAACACAUUAAGUACUCCGCCUGAGUAGUACGUACGCAAGUAUGAAACUUAAAGGAAUUGACGGGACUCCGCACAAGCGGUGGAUCAUGUUGUUUAAUUCGAAGGUACCCGAAAAACCUCACCAGGUCUUGACAUGCUUCUGCAAAGCUGUAGAAACACAGUGGAGGUUAUCAGUUGCACAGGUGGUGCAUGGUUGUCGUCAGCUCGUGUCGUGAGAUGUUGGGUUAAGUCCCGCAACGAGCGCAACCCUUAUUGUUAGUUACCAGCACGUAAUGGUGGGGACUUUAGCAAGACUGCCAGUGAUGAAUUGGAGGAAGGUGGGGACGACGUCAAAUCAUCAUGCCCCUUAUGACCUGGGCUACAAACGUGAUACAAUGGCUGUUACAAAGGGUAGCUGAAGCGCAAGUUUUUGGCGAAUCUCAAAAAAACAGU